GGAAGGUUGACCGAGUGGUUUAAGGUGCCGGUCUUGAAAACCGGUGUGGGGCAACUCACCGAGGGUUCGAAUCCCUCACCUUCCGCCA
Molecule: transfer RNA, 88 nt
Filed under: Candidatus Nomurabacteria bacterium
Lineage: Bacteria; Candidatus Nomuraibacteriota
Description: tRNA-Ser
Rfam family: tRNA
About the family: Transfer RNA (tRNA) molecules are approximately 80 nucleotides in length. Their secondary structure includes four short double-helical elements and three loops (D, anti-codon, and T loops).
Source: RNAcentral